GAGGUUGGUUCUCUAGCAGUUUACAUGCACGCAAUUUGGAUAUGGUAACUUAUAGUAGGGAUGAGUUAGUGAAGAGGCCAAGUGUGAACACAAAUGCAAGUGGAUAUCCUUCUUUUUGUUCUGUGGCUUCUUCUUCUUUGGAUGAAUCGGGACGCAUUCCUUUUAAGACUCCAAAUGGGUCUCCUCUCCAUGUCAAGGUAUUAACUGGUGAGAAGUUUGGCCCACGAGUUCCUUAUCCGGAUCAAUUUUGAGGCCUCCUCAGUCAUCUCCUAAACCAGCUCGAACCUGGGGUGGUUUCCUUCGAUCAUUCCUCAUAAAAUAGGUGAUUUGUUGAUGAAUAUUCAUGCCCAGCUCAAAUAACGAAUAUUUUGGCCGUUAGAUAGUUUCACACAUUCUUGGUACCGUUUGAGUAGACUCCUUCGACAAUCUCUUGAUUUAGCCCCGGCAAUAGAAUAAUGCCUCUCGAUCAUAAGUCUUUAAAUGUGUUGUUUGCUGGUGUAUUCUCAAGCCCACGUCAUCAUUUGUACAUGCAAAGUUUGUGUUGGGUGGUUUUGGUGAGCCUUCUCAGUCUUCUCCGCAAUCAUAUCUGUUGAUCCCUUUCUGUGCAAUCUGGUUUGAUAUGAAAUCCACACCAAUUCAGAAGGUCUCAAAGGAAGCAACUGGUUCAAGAUGAACGUACCAAGCAAUUGGUUAUAUUAGGGCUUAGGUAUAUAUUCC
Molecule: long non-coding RNA, 717 nt
Organism: Arabidopsis thaliana (thale cress)
Lineage: Eukaryota; Viridiplantae; Streptophyta; Magnoliopsida; Brassicales; Brassicaceae
Product: other RNA
Exons: 1
Source: RefSeq